This 517-nucleotide ribosomal RNA is filed under the name uncultured Archaeospora. RNAcentral describes it as "SSU rRNA". It matches the Rfam family "Eukaryotic small subunit ribosomal RNA", at positions 569 to 1090 of the family's 1831-position model. The record is from RNAcentral. Lineage: Eukaryota; Fungi; Glomeromycota; Glomeromycetes; Archaeosporales; Archaeosporaceae.
AGCAGCCGCGGUAAUUCCAGCUCCAAUAGCGUAUAUUAAAGUUGUUGCAGUUAAAAAGCUCGUAGUUGAAUUUUGGAUUCUUCCAAUUGGUCCAUCUUUUAGAUGAGUACUGGUUGUGUGGGGUCUAUCCGCCUGGUGAUACGUAAUGUCCUUUAUUGGAUGUUGCGGGUAGUCAGGACCUUUACCUUGAAAAAUUGAGUGUUUAAAGCAGGCUUAUGCCGGAAUACAUUAGCAUGGAAUAAUAGAAUAGGACGAAGUUGUUUUAUUUUGUUGGUUUCUAGGACAACCGUAAUGAUUAAUAGGGAUAGUUGGGGGCAUUAGUAUUCAAUUGUCAGAGGUGAAAUUCUUGGAUUUAUUGAAGACUAACUACUGCGAAAGCAUUUGCCAAGGAUGUUUUCAUUAAUCAAGAACGAAAGUUAGGGGAUCGAAGACAAUCAGAUACCGUCGUAGUCUUAACCAUAAACUAUGCCGACUAGGGAUCGGGCGAUGUUGUUUCCAUGACUCGCUCGGCACCUUA